RNAcentral lists this unclassified non-coding RNA (21 nucleotides) under Chlamydomonas reinhardtii. RNAcentral describes it as "small RNA Cre_3982". The record is from RNAcentral. Lineage: Eukaryota; Viridiplantae; Chlorophyta; Chlorophyceae; Chlamydomonadales; Chlamydomonadaceae.
UUGGCCCGGCACUUCUGGACU